UAAUAUAUCGGAACGUACCUUUGGGUGGGGGAUAACGUAGCGAAAGUUACGCUAAUACCGCAUACGAUCUACGGAUGAAAGUGGGGGCUUCGCAAGAACCUCAUGCUCAUAGAGCGGCCGAUAUCUGAUUAGCUAGUUGGUAGGGUAAAAGCCUACCAAGGCAUCGAUCAGUAGCUGGUCUGAGAGGACGACCAGCCACACUGGGACUGAGACACGGCCCAG
This 222-nucleotide ribosomal RNA is filed under the name uncultured bacterium. Its description in RNAcentral is "partial 16S ribosomal RNA". It matches the Rfam family "Bacterial small subunit ribosomal RNA", at positions 111 to 334 of the family's 1533-position model. The record is from RNAcentral.